GUUAUAUACUGUUGAUAUGAACAGCCUUUUGGCUAUUUCUUCUGUGAAUGGGUUGUGACAGGCUUGCAAAGUGCCACAUGGCUGAAGAAUGGUCACCUUCCUGGGCAGUUGCAGUUUGUGGAGGUCACAUGCUAUCAAGAAGGCAGGUGUCCUGCAGCCCGCUACUAUGGAUGGAGGACCUUGGGGGUGGCUGUCCAUGCAGCCUGCUGGCAAGUCUCUGUUAUUCUUUAAUCAUUGAUUCAGGUAAAAUCUUAUCCUUCUCAAGAACUCUGAUGCUUUUGACGACUGGUAGUCUUGCCAGCUUAAAGCAAAACAGAUUCCAGUAACAGGUAUUUUAGGGUUUAUCUAUGUAAAGAUAGGAAAGUCUAAGAUGUAUAAAAGUCUGAAAUUGUAGUUACGAAGGCCUGAGGAUAAAAGGGCUUAAAUGAUGAUAAAAUGAGUUGAGACAUUAAAAAAAAAUGAAAUAUGUUCUGGAUUUCUCUAUUUCUCAUGCUACUGUUCAUAGUCAGUUCUACAAUACCACUAUAGGAUCAUAACUACAAGGUCAAGAUUAAGAUGCUUUUCAUUGUCAAAAAAAAAAAUCUGUGUUUUAAAAUGGUAAUACUUUCAGCCAAGUUGCUUCUAACGUGAUUAUGCUACUGAUGUGUCUAAUACUUAUGUUUCCACAAACUCUAAGGAUUCUUGUAAGUUCCAGGGAGCCGAAUCAGAUCCAAACAGGUCAGAUUCACUCCAGGUAAUAUUCAACCUUUCCCCAGUCCCAAAUUCCCUUCACUCAUCUUGGGGCUCCUCGGGAACCCCUCCCUCAUCUUAUAAUCUUCCCCUCAAGUGACAGGACCUAAGAAAAAAAAUUUUUUUCCUAAACUUAACCUUGUCCUCUGCUCUGUCAACAUCUUGCCAGGUCUAAGAGGUGCCAGGGAGUUCCAUACAGCCUGGACUACAAUGAAACAACCAGCUUCCCCAGGACGUGGCAGCACCCCAACCUUCUCCGCCCCCACAUCAGCAGGAAGCAGUCUUAAGAAUUCGACGCCCUUAUUCCUUAAUCUGCCAUGUCUAAACACCCCACCUUUUUUAAAUAAUAAGUAGAGGUGGGAAUGAAAGGUUCAGGCAUUAUGCUGGCUUGCCCCUGUUACCUGGUGAAAUCCACUCAGGCAGAACCCUGGUCAGCCCAAGGUUCCAUUGGAACUAAGUCUGCACGCAGGUGCAGAGGACCCCUUUAAAAGAUAGGCCCCUGCCCAUUUAUGCUCUCUCUCUCUCUCUGUUCCCGCUCUCUGUUUCCCCACUCUACUCUCCCACCUAUGCUCUCGCUCUGUCUCUCUAUGGCGACCAGCCAUGGUGGUCAGCCAUUACCCUGUUCCUCUUCUUAGUCUCCCCAUUCUGAU
RNAcentral lists this long non-coding RNA (1379 nucleotides) under Cricetulus griseus (Chinese hamster). Its description in RNAcentral is "lncRNA (ENSCGRG00015031307.1)". The record is from RNAcentral. Lineage: Eukaryota; Metazoa; Chordata; Mammalia; Rodentia; Cricetidae.